CACCCUCCGGCACGUGCAGUCGUCGUGCAGGAGCUUGCACGCGCAGCCCAAAGCGAGGGGGAGGGGGAGAGGAGAAGGGGAAGAGGGAAACGGCGGAGGAGAAGGAGAAGGAGUGGAGGAGGGAGAUGAGCGCGCUCACUCAGCAUCAGCAACACACACACACACGCACAAAGAGGUCGGAGAGCUGGCUCGUGAAUGGGAGAUGACGGAGCGCUGCAGGACGCGCUCAGAACAGGACUGAUACUCGCAUCCAUCAUACACACAGGGAGACCAGCCGUGCCACUGUGUAUGCUAUUGUGCCACAAGCAUGCCAACAACAGCAUGGACAGAGCGUCCAGACAUCAAGACUGUUCUCUAACUGCAUCCUUAUAACUAAUAGGAAUCAGGUUUCAUAAUAUGUUCACAAUAUUGUGUACAUCUGCAUGGAUUAAUUGGGGGUUUUGACUAAGAAAUAUUUUGUUUUCUGCAUGAAACCCCAUGCAUUUUUUGCAGUGAUGUCAUGUUUGUACUGUAGGCCCACAAUAUGAACCCUAACAGGGUAUUACAUGUGUGUACAUACUGAAUUGUUGUCAUAGGUUAACAAAUGCCACUCAUGGUUGCCUAAAUAAAAGAAACUGAUUUAGACUAUAUAAUUGAUAGUUUAUGAUUUCCACUUAAGUUUCAUAAGAUUCCCCUACAUCACUGCAGCAUAUAAUCCCGAAAUGCCAUUUUGGCUCUUUCAAAUAUCCAAAAUAUCCAAUUUUCUGAUUGCAGUAAUCAGCCAUUUGUUAUAAUUGUUUUAUUUACAGUUGUGCUCGUACGUUUACAUACCCCUUGCAGAAUCUGCAAAAUGUUACUAACUCAAAAUAUAUAUGAGGGAUCAUAAAAAUUGCAUUUAGUUUUUUAUUUAGUGCUGCCCUAAAUAAGCGAUUUCACAUGACAGAUGUUUACAUAUAGUCCACAAAACACAAUAAUAACUGAAUUUACACAAAUGAACUAGUUCAAAAGUUUACACACGCUCGAUUCUUAAUACUGUGUGUCGCUACCUGGAUGAUCAACGACUGUUUUUAUGUUUUGUAAUAGUUGUGUACGAGUCCCUCAGUAGUCCUCAGUGUGAAAAGAUGGAUCUUAAAAUCAUAUAGCUGCUGUUGGAAAGGGCUCAAAUAUGCAGAAGAUGAUAGAAAAGUAAAGAAUGUGCAGGACCUGGAGGAUUUUUCUGAAGAACAGUGGGCAGUUUAACUGCUCAGGACAAACAAGGGACUCAUGAACAACUAUCACAAAACAUAAACACAUCAUGUCAGUGAUCAUCCAGGUAAUGACACACAGUGUUAAGAAUCGAGUGUGUGUAAACUUUUGAACUCAUUUGUUCAUUUGUGUAAAUUCAUUUAUUUUUGUGUCUUGUGGACUAUGUGUAAACAUCUGUUAUGUGAAAUAGAUUAUUCAGGACAGGACUAAAUAAAAAACUAAACCCAAUUUUUAUAAUCUCUCUUAUUUUAUUUUUUUUAAAUUAUGAACAUUUUGCAGAUUCUGCAAGGGGUGUGUGAAUUUAUGAGCACAACUGUAUAAGAGGACAUAGCCUGCAUUUUAGUAGGAUAAAGUGAUGUAACCAAAACAUGAUGGAACCUUUUAUGAAUUACUAAGGCCUUUAUUAGGGAUUUCCACAAUACAUUUUUUCCUAAUUGUAGCUUGAUUAGACGGGGUGAACUGUUACGGGUAUCAGUGGAGGGGUUCACAAAGAAUAGCUAGGAGCUUUGUAAUGCAUAGAGAAACACAACCAGAUAAAUGGCAAUAAACAGUCAUUUGUGAAAAGCAUGAUUAAUAAUAUCUGCCAAGUAGUAGUUUCUCACAUAUCAAGGAUUUGGAGUUAUAGUGGCAGUUAUAUUUGUUUACUUUAUCACUGCGUCCAAUUCGGCUUCUUCUGGACUAAUUGCCCCAUGUGUAAAUGACUUUGUGAAUGUGUGCAUGUGAUGAGAUUGUGUGGAGUUGGUGUCGUAUGCAUGGUGCACUCCCACUUUGCACAGUAUUUCCGAAAUAAGAUCCCUCACGACAUUCCAUGAUAUUGAUUGCGAAUUUGGUCAGUGAAUGAAGAGACACUUUGGGUUGAUCCAAUGACGGGUACUUUUUAUAUGCAUGACAUGUUACCUUACAAGUUAAUGAAGGCAAGGAUACUGUUUUAUCAGAGAGCUGCUGCAAAAGAUAUUUAAAAAAACAUUGUACCCAUCUGUCACUUUAGUAUUUUCCCCCCCACAAUUUCUCACUCUCCUGCAUAAAGGGAAUAAAAUUUUUUUGUAUGUGAUGUAUAUAUGGUGUAUACAGUGCUGUGAAAAUGUAUUCUGAUUUCUUCUGUUUUUGUGUAUAUCUCAUCCUAAAUAACUUUAGCUCUUCAAAAGAAAUGCAACAUAAAACAAAGGCAGCCUGAGUAAGCACACAAUACAGUUUUAAUUUUUAAUUUUAUUUUUUAUUAAAGCAAAAAAAGAAAGUUAUCCAACACCUAUCACCCAUGUGGGAAAACUAAUUGCCCUCUUAAACUUAAAAUCUGGUUGUGCCACCUUUAGCAGCAAUGACUACAACCAAACGCUUCUGACAGCUGGAGAUCAGUCUUUCACAUUGCUGUGGUGGAAUUUUGGCCCACUCUUCUUUGCAGAACUGCUUUAGUUCUGCCACACUGAAGGGUUUUCAAGCAUGAACUGACCAGCUUUUAACCAGAUUCAUGUUGUUGAAAAAGUUCUAUUUAAGCACUGAUUUGAUUGAACAGGGUUUGCUGUCAUCAGGCCUGGUUGUGUAUAGUCCAGCUGAACCCCAUUAUGAAUGCAGUUUCAUAGAUUUGGGGAAUUAGUAACUAUGAGGGUAAAUACAUUUUCACACAGGCCCAGUUGGUACUAGAUAACUUUUUUUCUUCAAUAAAUAACAUCAUCAUUUAAACACUGUAUUUUGUGAUUACUCAGGUUGCGUUUGUUUUACCUUAGACUUUGCUUUAAUUUCUGAAACAAUUUAGAAUGAGAAAUACACAAAAACAGAAGAAAUCAGGAUGGAGCAAAUACUUUUUCACAGCACUGUAUGUCCUUAAGUCUUGUCUGCAGAUGUCAGACCAAAAAUAGAGCAAAUUGAUCUAGUCAUUGAUCCCCAGGAGGAAAAUUCAAAUAGUUUUUGGCCACUCAUUUAUAUUCAUUAUCACAGACACAAUCAUAUACUGUGAAGCUGUAACCACCAGAGACUCUAGUUACACAGCCUACAGGCUACGCUUCAACUGGGCCAGUCCAAGCAUGACUAAUUUAAUGUAUACAUCAGGCAAAAAAAACAGUCCUGUACAACAAUUAGGAGUUCAAGAGAAACAACAGGUCAAAUACGAACUGUUCAUAAUGUAUGGUAGGGUACUGUAUGCAUGCAGAUUACUGAAUGGGUCUUUCCUAAUUUCACCAUGUGACAGUAAAGUGUAGAAAUAUACAACCAGGAAAGUAAGCCACACUGAUUGAUCGUGAUAAAGAAAAGAUUUUAGUGCGGUCACAGUAACAUACAGCUCGAUCGUGUGUCAUUGACUGACAAGAACACACACACACACACACACACACACACACACACACACACACACAUCGAGAGCCAAAUCCUGUCAUUACUCACAUGGGAACAUAACAUAACUGUAUACACACCCUGACUCAGACAUGCCCUAUUACCUGUGAGGAAUUUUAGAAAAUGAUACCUAGAAGGCAGAAAACAGUUUAUGAUGGAUAUGUUAUUAACACUUUAGUCAUGCGUGUACUUUAUUUUGAAAGAGGGACGGCCUUCCCUGUGAGAUGGAGCCCAGAUAAAUGGAAAGAGGGAAUUAUUUAACAGUGAGCACACAAGACAUGCUGAGAAGAGACAAGUCAGAACAAAACACAUCAGACUGCUCGUAGGAUUUAGAAUGAAUUCUAAUCAGAGAACAACAUUGACAUUGACAAACAGCAUUGGCAGAGCAAGAAAAGAAUACAAAGAGUGCAAAACAAAGAACAGUAAAUAAGAUAUGAGGGAGAGGCAGUAGAUAUCAGACAUGAAAGAAAGACAGACAGGGCAAGUUGCCAGUAUAUUAGGUACUAGACACCCUCUAGGUGUAUAUAAUAAACUGGUAAGUAGGGCUUUAAUAAGGGCUGAGACUGUGUGAUUGGUUGUGUGAGACCCUGUUAUUGGUUUUUCAGAGUGUCCCCACGGCCACAUUCAUCAGAUUCCAGUUGUGUUUCUGCUAGCACGUAUUGUAUUGUACAUACACUCCUGGGCAACAAAAUGGGCCAAACUCAAAAUGGCAAAAUACUAAACUUUUAACCCUUUAUUGCAUGGUGUUGCCAUAUGGCAACAAUUAAUUUAUCUCCAAUUUUUUGAUAGGCAAUAAAUACAAAUGACUAUCUUCCUAUGUGACUAGAAAACGGGGCUUUAACUUUGACAUAAUAAAAAAAAAUUCUAUGUCAAAUGAGCAGGAAGUGCUGUUUACACUUCUUUAUCUUCAAUCACAUGGCAUGGUGAAAGUUGUCAUCAGAGGGCUCUCAAAAUGUAAUACAUUUUUCAAUAUUUAGGCAAAACUACUUAAAGGAAAAAAUUUUAACACUAUCUAAGAUAAGUUAACAUUUAUUUUUUUGUCAUUCAAACAAGUUUAGAUAUUUUGAGUAUUCUGUUAAAUGGUAAAAUGUAAUUGUUGCCAUAUGGAAACAACAUAUGAUAAUGGAACUGUUGUAUGUGCGUUCAUGAAUUCUAACAGGCCGACAUAGCAAAAAAAGACACCAGGCUUCUCUAAUAGUAUAUUUCACAUUUAAAAGUAAGAAAAACUGUUAUAAUUUCAGAGAAUUCUGCAAUUGUACCUUAUUUUCUAAAUGUUAUGUUUCUAGAGAAAGAAUUAAGAAUUCAAGAGAAAGAAUUAAAAAGAUACUUCACCAAAAACUUGUUUGGAUCUAAUUUGUGUAUGUAUUGUGAGUGAGUAACUCCAUCCACAUACUUUUUACGACUGUAAUUCCUUUCUAGAAGAUAUAACUUUUACCUGCUUACUAAAAAAUCUACAACUUAUAGUCUGUAAAAUGCAGUAAUUAGAAUUAUCUCAUACAUUUUGUGAUAUUUUUGACUAUAUGAUACUUUCUACCAUUCCACACAUUGCACACACAAUUUACCAACCACCCCCCAUUUUUUCCC
Molecule: long non-coding RNA, 5130 nt
Organism: Ictalurus punctatus (channel catfish)
Lineage: Eukaryota; Metazoa; Chordata; Actinopteri; Siluriformes; Ictaluridae
Source: Ensembl